AUCAAUGACGGUACUGUCAGAAUAAGCUCCGGCUAACUACGUCCAGCAGCCGCGGUAAUACGUAGGGUGCGAGCGUUAAUCGGAAUUACUGGGCGUAAAGCGUGCGCAGGCGGUUAUGUAAGACAGAUGUGAAAUCCCCGGGCUCAACCUGGGAACUGCAUUAGUGACUGCAUAGCUUGAGUGCAGCAGAGGGGGAUGGAAUUCCGCGUGUAGCAGUGAAACGCGUCNAUAUGCGGAGGAACACCGAUGGCGAAGGCAAUCCCCCUGGGCCUGAACUGACGCUCAGCACGAAAG
RNAcentral lists this ribosomal RNA (294 nucleotides) under bacterium ER-V-14. Its description in RNAcentral is "partial 16S ribosomal RNA". It matches the Rfam family "Bacterial small subunit ribosomal RNA", at positions 465 to 759 of the family's 1533-position model. The record is from RNAcentral.